RNAcentral lists this long non-coding RNA (465 nucleotides) under Physcomitrium patens. RNAcentral's name for it is "long non-coding RNA (PPAT_LNC003440)". The record is from RNAcentral. Lineage: Eukaryota; Viridiplantae; Streptophyta; Bryopsida; Funariales; Funariaceae.
UGCUCUUUUAGGUAAUCUUGAACCAAUGCUCUCAUUCCUCCCUUGCCAAAAUUGGUUUGAAGAAGAUCAUUCCUAUCUUUCAAUACUAUCUUCUCAUCUUUCCAGCAAAUAAUUCCUUGCCGUAUCAUAUUAUUAAAUUCAUUGCAAUCUUUUCUAGUGUGUGAAGCAUCAUCACACCAAAUGCAUCUUUGUACAUAUCCUUGUUUUGAAACAUUCUUAGAAUUAUUUAUAGAAGUAUUCUCUUCAAGUCUUGCCAAUUUGAUUUGAAGAUCUCGCAUUCCUCAUAUAAUUUCUUCCAUCCCCAUAUCUGCUUUCUUUGAUAAGGAUGUCGAAGGUUGAACUGUAGGCAUUGUUGGUAGUGUUGUAUGUACUGGAGCUUUGGGUACUUGUACUGUUUUUUGAAUAUUGCUCCUAUCCUUCUUCCUUUCUUUUUUUGUAAGCAACCCCACUGCAUCUUCAACGUUC